GGCUGGUUUUAGCCCUUGAUGUCUGUUGAAUAUAAGAAAAUAAGUCAUCUUCAGUGACCUUGCAUGGGGGAAGAAUAUUGAACUUUCCAGAUGUUGCAAUGAUCAAUUGGGAUGAUGCUAAGGACCUCUGACCUACAACAGGUGGUGAGGUGAGGUGGGGAGAAGAAGGGAGGAGAAAGAAAGAGAGUGAAUGUGCAGCCAAGAGUGAUUUCA
Molecule: long non-coding RNA, 213 nt
Filed under: Oryctolagus cuniculus (rabbit)
Lineage: Eukaryota; Metazoa; Chordata; Mammalia; Lagomorpha; Leporidae
Description: lncRNA (ENSOCUG00000035405.1)
Source: RNAcentral